This 253-nucleotide ribosomal RNA is filed under the name uncultured bacterium. RNAcentral describes it as "partial 16S ribosomal RNA". It matches the Rfam family "Bacterial small subunit ribosomal RNA", at positions 524 to 776 of the family's 1533-position model. The record is from RNAcentral.
UACGUAGGUGGCGAGCGUUGUCCGGAUUUACUGGGCGUAAAGGGAGCGUAGGCGGAUUUUUAAGUGAGAUGUGAAAUACUCGGGCUCAACUUGAGUGCUGCAUUUCAAACUGGAAGUCUAGAGUGCAGGAGAGGAGAAUGGAAUUCCUAGUGUAGCGGUGAAAUGCGUAGAGAUUAGGAAGAACAUCAGUGGCGAAGGCGAUUCUCUGGACUGUAACUGACGCUGAGGCUCGAAAGCGUGGGGAGCAUACAGG